RNAcentral lists this ribosomal RNA (249 nucleotides) under Botrytis cinerea. RNAcentral's name for it is "partial large subunit ribosomal RNA". It matches the Rfam family "Eukaryotic large subunit ribosomal RNA", at positions 398 to 664 of the family's 3401-position model. Lineage: Eukaryota; Fungi; Ascomycota; Leotiomycetes; Helotiales; Sclerotiniaceae. The record is from RNAcentral.
CGUGAAAUUGUUGAAAGGGAAGCGCUUGCAAUCAGACUUGCACUUGGUGUUCAUCAGGGUCUCGUACCCUGUGUACUUCAUCAAGUUCAGGCCAGCAUCAGUUUGGGUGGUUAGAUAAAGGCUUAGAGAAUGUGGCCCUCUUCGGGGGGUGUUAUAGCUCUAGGUGCAAUGUAGCCUACUUGGACUGAGGACCGCGCUUCGGCUAGGAUGCUGGCGUAAUGGUUGUAAGCGACCCGUCUUGAAACACGG